GGUGCCAAAUAAGAAACUAGCCCUCUACAUCACGUCCAGUCACAACCACAUGGGUCCCACGCCCACCACCGUCUAAUAAAAAGAAUCAAUCUGCUCCCAGGCAGCACCUCUCUAAACCUCUCGCUACCUUCCCCGUCCCUACUGGCGGCAGCCUAGGGCUUUCCCUAAGCUUCUCCAUCCCAAGAUCAAGAUGCCUCCGGGAAAGAAGGGGUCACGAUGCAUACUAAAUCCCCAGCGACAAGAAAAAUAUAAAGAUACCCAACCAAGUGCAAUAAAUCUUUUCAAGGAGAUGUAUUGCGGCAAGAAGAAAUGAUUUAGUAAAAUUGUUCAGAAAGCUAUUGAUGAUAUGGAAGCAAUGGUGGCAGCAUCAGUUGAAGUUAGACAACUUGUGAUGUCUUCUACCCAAGUUGUUUCUCAUGUCUUGCCCAGCUCAAGUAAAUUCCUUCACAAUGUUGGCCUUCAGCCUGCCUCCAAGACAAGCUCUAUUUCAGCAAAGGUGCACGAGCUUCAAUCUCAAUUGGAGACCAAGAGACAAGAAAAAGAUGGACUUAGGCAAGAAAUGGAAUCCUUAAAGGCUACAUCACAAGAAUUUAUGACCACUAUUGCUAAUCAAACAAUUGAGAUCGAGAAUUUAAAGAAGUCGCUAGCAGAAAAUAAUAGCCUUCUUCGUCAGAUACUAAGCACCAAUCGAGGCAUGUCUCCUCCUUAAGAUUGUUGCUAUAGUCGACCAUGCCAAUGUUACAUCCAACAACACUGGACUACUUUUUUAUUAGUUGUCUAUUUAGUCUGAUCAUAUUGAUACUAUAGUAGCUGUGUGCAGCUUGUGGCGGUUGAACAUGUCCUACUUUUGCAUUUAAGUUAUAGAAAAGUUGUGUGUGUUCAUGUUGUUUGAUGAAAUUGUAUGCACGGUUUGGAUUGAAUUCAAUUAUAUACUGAUUUUAUUAA
This is a long non-coding RNA of Zea mays, 945 nucleotides long. RefSeq lists it as uncharacterized. NCBI's taxonomy places the organism in Eukaryota, Viridiplantae, Streptophyta, Magnoliopsida, Poales, Poaceae. The transcript is spliced from 3 exons. The record is from RefSeq and is a predicted model, not a curated record.